UGGUCACAACAUCUUUAUUUUAUUUUUAUGUGGUGCUGAGGAUCGAACCCAGCGCCCCGCGCAUGCCUGGCGAGCACACUAUUGCUUGAGCCACAUCCCCAGCCCGCCCCGGGGUUUUUUCACACCCUGUUCUUGGACUCCUGGCAUUCAAAGACCCGAAGCCUCUUGUCCGUCGUCUCAUAGGGUCAAUCUUUGUGUCACGAUGAAUAUUCCCCUCCACAACUUUUAAAAGCAAGACCUAAAACCCAUUUUGAAGACUGGCCUCGCUGCUGUGCGCCUCUCUUGCAGAGAGAUGACAGCUCUUCCUUGGACGUUUUCACUGGUUCUGCAACACCCAGUGUCCCCUUCUCUCCGCACUCCCCGGUGGGCGCCCAGUGUCCAGGGGGAGUUUGUCCCUGGAUGAGUCCACUGUGUACAGAGGCAUCAUGGGAGUUGUCAUUGUCAGGAACAUUCUACACCCCAGGAAUCUUGAGGGAUGCUUCCUUGGAUCUGGAGAUUAUGGAAAGAAGGCCCAAGGGAUAGAGGCACUGACCCUUUCAGGAUGGUGACAUGGGGUGCCAGCUCUCUUUAUGGUGAUUUAUUGCCAAGAAGCCAAGUCAACCUGUGUUUCUGAGAUUGAGAUAGAAAUUCCAAGCCGCUGGCCUGGACUAACUUUCUCUUGGUCUGUGGUGUUGAUUGUGGACACUGGCACAACAGAAAGUGAAGUGUGAUGUUGCUACGUGACACAUUGUCAGACCUUGCCACUGUUGCCUCAGCACAACGUGGAAACUUUUACUCUGUACGAUCAGGGCAAGGAAAGCCUUGGAUUCUGGGGACUUGGGGUUCAUAGGUGGAAACCCUUCAGCUGGCUCUGCCUCUCCUCAGCAGUGCCACGGAUCCCUGGAUGGGAAGACUAGUGUCCAUCUCAUGUGUAGCCAGCUUCUGUGUCUUCUUGCCUAUUCCUGUUUUAACUGUUUAGAUCUAAAAAAAAAUGCUAAUGACGUUUUCUAUGCUGUGUCCUUGUCCUUUUACCUCAAUAAAUUUUGAAACAUGC
Non-coding RNA from Ictidomys tridecemlineatus (thirteen-lined ground squirrel), 1033 nucleotides. The record is from RefSeq and is a predicted model, not a curated record. Lineage: Eukaryota; Metazoa; Chordata; Mammalia; Rodentia; Sciuridae.